AUGGAUCAAGCCCAAGCCUUGUUCUUCUUGCAAUGGAUCGUUGGAAACGUGCCUGCACUAUUCACAGACCAUCUUCAUUAUAUUACCACUAAUGUCCCAUUAGGAAUUGGACCAUCAAUUGUGUUCCAAUCUAGGUUCAUUCGUCUGAUAUACCAUCACUUCUCGUUCUCAUUGCCGGAUCAUACGUAUUCGCUGUUUUCAGCACUUGCAAUAGCAAAAAAUCAUCUUGGGCAGGAUGACGUACGCGCAUUUAAUAUUCUCCUUCGACAAGCUUGGAAUGAUUUACUGAUGGACCAGAUUGUAGUAGUUGGUCAAAAUUGGCCUGAUCAAGCCGAACAAAAUCCGAUCUUUUAUGAAAUUAUGUGGUGGCAGAGCAGGCAGGCAGGGGUGGUACCUCCAAGGAGAGGAUAUACAGGUACACCUGAGUCAUUAUACAAUUUUGGAAGAAACAACAGAGUUCAUACACCUGAAAAAACAAAGGGGCCAAGGGGAGCUCUGCUAGGGGAGAUUCAGCAAGUGCCACCCCAUGGUGCAGGGCGUUGGCGAUGGAUGAUCAUUACUCCUGAGGGGGAAUGGGGCUGGGCGUGGCAGCCUCCUCAAGGGCAGUGGUUCUGGCCGACGGUUCCAGGUGAUACCCAGUGGCGAAUGACCAAGUGGCCAAAUGCUGCACCAGUGCUGCCUCUACUACCAUUAUCUGCCCAGGCUACACAGGACCAGAAAAUGGAUAAUCCAGAGAAUGUGGGCCAUAUGGUAGGGAAGGAGUUUGGGAUGUUCUUUGCUCAUGCCACGGCCUUUGUCCUCCUAUUCUUACAGUGUGGAACUCCAGAGUAUAUUGAUCAGCCUCAUCAGAGAUACGAAGAGGCAAUGGAUAGUUAA
Molecule: ribosomal RNA, 876 nt
Filed under: Triticum aestivum (bread wheat)
Lineage: Eukaryota; Viridiplantae; Streptophyta; Magnoliopsida; Poales; Poaceae
Description: partial small subunit ribosomal RNA
Source: RNAcentral